This 473-nucleotide ribosomal RNA is filed under the name uncultured organism. RNAcentral describes it as "partial 16S ribosomal RNA". It matches the Rfam family "Bacterial small subunit ribosomal RNA", at positions 332 to 797 of the family's 1533-position model. The record is from RNAcentral.
UACACUCCUACGGGAGGCAGCAGUAGGGAAUCUUCGGCAAUGGGGGCAACCCUGACCGAGCAACGCCGCGUGAGUGAAGAAGGUUUUCGGAUCGUAAAGCUCUGUUGUAAGUCAAGAACGAGUGUGAGAGUGGAAAGUUCACACUGUGACGGUAGCUUACCAGAAAGGGACGGCUAACUACGUGCCAGCAGCCGCGGUAAUACGUAGGUCCCGAGCGUUGUCCGGAUUUAUUGGGCGUAAAGCGAGCGCAGGCGGUUUGAUAAGUCUGAAGUUAAAGGCUGUGGCUCAACCAUAGUUCGCUUUGGAAACUGUCAAACUUGAGUGCAGAAGGGGAGAGUGGAAUUCCAUGUGGAGCGGUGAAAUGCGUAGAUAUAUGGAGGAACACCGGUGGCGAAAGCGGCUCUCUGGUCUGUAACUGACGCUGAGGCUCGAAAGCGUGGGGAGCGAACAGGAUUAGAUACCCGUGUAGUCCC